RNAcentral lists this ribosomal RNA (468 nucleotides) under uncultured bacterium. RNAcentral's name for it is "partial 16S ribosomal RNA". It matches the Rfam family "Bacterial small subunit ribosomal RNA", at positions 28 to 507 of the family's 1533-position model. The record is from RNAcentral.
GACGAACGCUGGCGGCGUGCUUAACACAUGCAAGUCGAACGGAAAGGCCCUGCUUUUGUGGGGUGCUCGAGUGGCGAACGGGUGAGUAACACGUGAGUAACCUGCCCUUGACUUUGGGAUAACUUCAGGAAACUGGGGCUAAUACCGGAUAGGAGCUCCUGCUGCAUGGUGGGGGUUGGAAAGUUUCGGCGGUUGGGGAUGGACUCGCGGCUUAUCAGCUUGUUGGUGGGGUAGUGGCUUACCAAGGCUUUGACGGGUAGCCGGCCUGGGAGGGUGAGCGGCGAAGUGGGGUCGGGGCUGCGCCCCAGACCACUAGGGGAGGGGGGGGUGGGGAAGAUUAUCCAGUGGGAGGAGGCAUGAUGCAGCACCGCCGCGUGGGGGAUGACGGCCUUGGGUUUGUAAACCGCUUUCGCUUGGGAGGAGGCGUGAGUGACGGUAAUGGGAAAAGAAGCCCCGGCUAACUACGUG